AUUGAACGCUGGCGGCAUGCUUUACACAUGCAAGUCGAACGGCAGCACGGGCUUCGGCCUGGUGGCGAGUGGCGAACGGGUGAGUAAUAUAUCGGAACGUACCCAGAAGUGGGGGAUAACGUAGCGAAAGUUACGCUAAUACCGCAUACGAUCUAUGGAUGAAAGCAGGGGACCGCAAGGCCUUGUGCUCCUGGGCGGCCGAUAUCUGAUUAGCUAGUUGGUGAGGUAAAGGCUCACCAAGGCGACGAUCAGUAGCUGGUCUGAGAGGACGACCAGCCACACUGGAACUGAGACACGGUCCAGACUCCUACGGGAGGCAGCAGUGGGGAAUUUUGGACAAUGGGCGCAAGCCUGAUCCAGCAAUGCCGCGUGAGUGAAGAAGGCCUUCGGGUUGUAAAGCUCUUUUGUCAGGGAAGAAACGGUAGAGGCUAAUAUCCUUUGCUAAUGACGGUACCUGAAGAAUAAGCACCGGCUAACUACGUG
RNAcentral lists this ribosomal RNA (483 nucleotides) under uncultured bacterium. Its description in RNAcentral is "partial 16S ribosomal RNA". It matches the Rfam family "Bacterial small subunit ribosomal RNA", at positions 30 to 507 of the family's 1533-position model. The record is from RNAcentral.